GACGAACGCUGGCGGCGGGCUUAACACAUGCAAGUCGAACGGAAAGGCCCUGCUUUUGUGGGGUGCUCGAGUGGCGAACGGGUGAGUAACACGUGAGUAACCUGCCCUUGACUUUGGGAUAACUUCAGGAAACUGGGGCUAAUACCGGAUAGGAGCUCCUGCUGCAGGGUGGGGGUGGGAAAGUUUCGGCGGGUGGGGAUGGACUCGCGGCUUAUCAGCUUGUUGGUGGGGUAGUGGCUUACCAAGGCUUUGACGGGUAGCCGGCCUGAGAGGGUGACCGGCCACAUUGGGACUGAGAUACGGCCCAGACUCCUACGGGAGGCAGCAGUGGGGAAUAUUGCACAAUGGGCGGAAGCCUGAUGCAGCAACGCCGCGUGCGGGAUGACGGCCUUCGGGUUGUAAACCGCUUUCGCCUGUGACGAAGCGUGAGUGACGGUAAUGGGUAAAGAAGCACCGGCUAACUACGUG
This 468-nucleotide ribosomal RNA is filed under the name uncultured bacterium. Its description in RNAcentral is "partial 16S ribosomal RNA". It matches the Rfam family "Bacterial small subunit ribosomal RNA", at positions 28 to 507 of the family's 1533-position model. The record is from RNAcentral.